This 794-nucleotide ribosomal RNA is filed under the name Clavibacter sp. V31-PCA-E14. RNAcentral's name for it is "bacterial SSU rRNA". It matches the Rfam family "Bacterial small subunit ribosomal RNA", at positions 56 to 859 of the family's 1533-position model. Lineage: Bacteria; Bacillati; Actinomycetota; Actinomycetes; Micrococcales; Microbacteriaceae. The record is from RNAcentral.
UGCAAGUCGAACGGUGAUGUCAGAGCUUGCUCUGGCGGAUCAGUGGCGAACGGGUGAGUAACACGUGAGUAACCUGCCCCCGACUCUGGGAUAACUGCUAGAAAUGGUAGCUAAUACCGGAUAUGACGAUUGGCCGCAUGGUCUGGUCGUGGAAAGAAUUUCGGUUGGGGAUGGACUCGCGGCCUAUCAGGUUGUUGGUGAGGUAAUGGCUCACCAAGCCUACGACGGGUAGCCGGCCUGAGAGGGUGACCGGCCACACUGGGACUGAGACACGGCCCAGACUCCUACGGGAGGCAGCAGUGGGGAAUAUUGCACAAUGGGCGAAAGCCUGAUGCAGCAACGCCGCGUGAGGGAUGACGGCCUUCGGGUUGUAAACCUCUUUUAGUAGGGAAGAAGCGAAAGUGACGGUACCUGCAGAAAAAGCACCGGCUAACUACGUGCCAGCAGCCGCGGUAAUACGUAGGGUGCAAGCGUUGUCCGGAAUUAUUGGGCGUAAAGAGCUCGUAGGCGGUUUGUCGCGUCUGCUGUGAAAUCCCGAGGCUCAACCUCGGGUCUGCAGUGGGUACGGGCAGACUAGAGUGCGGUAGGGGAGAUUGGAAUUCCUGGUGUAGCGGUGGAAUGCGCAGAUAUCAGGAGGAACACCGAUGGCGAAGGCAGAUCUCUGGGCCGUAACUGACGCUGAGGAGCGAAAGCAUGGGGAGCGAACAGGAUUAGAUACCCUGGUAGUCCAUGCCGUAAACGUUGGGAACUAGAUGUGGGGACCAUUCCACGGUCUCCGUGUCGCAGCUAACGCA